This 99-nucleotide microRNA precursor is filed under the name Propithecus coquereli (Coquerel's sifaka). RNAcentral's name for it is "miRNA (ENSPCOG00000000233.1)". Lineage: Eukaryota; Metazoa; Chordata; Mammalia; Primates; Indriidae. The record is from RNAcentral.
GAGGUGAGAGGAUCUCUUGAGCCCAGGAGUUUGAGGCUGUAGUGAACUAUGAUCACACCACUGCACUCCAGCCUGAGUGACAGAGUAAGACCCUGUCUC